RNAcentral lists this transfer RNA (56 nucleotides) under Syntrophobacteraceae bacterium. RNAcentral describes it as "tRNA-Leu". It matches the Rfam family "tRNA", at positions 20 to 71 of the family's 71-position model. Rfam says of the family: Transfer RNA (tRNA) molecules are approximately 80 nucleotides in length. Their secondary structure includes four short double-helical elements and three loops (D, anti-codon, and T loops). The record is from RNAcentral. Lineage: Bacteria; Pseudomonadati; Thermodesulfobacteriota; Syntrophobacteria; Syntrophobacterales; Syntrophobacteraceae.
AGAGCAUGCGGCUCAUAUCCGCAGAGUCCGGGGUUCAAGUCCCUGCACCGCCACCA